This 362-nucleotide ribosomal RNA is filed under the name uncultured Streptococcus sp. RNAcentral's name for it is "bacterial SSU rRNA". It matches the Rfam family "Bacterial small subunit ribosomal RNA", at positions 1018 to 1382 of the family's 1533-position model. Lineage: Bacteria; Bacillati; Bacillota; Bacilli; Lactobacillales; Streptococcaceae. The record is from RNAcentral.
UUCGGUACAUCGGUGACGAGGUGGUGCAUGGUUGUCGUCAGCUCGUGUCGUGAGAUGUUGGGUUAAGUCCCGCAACGAGCGCAACCCCUAUUGUUAGUUGCCACCAUUCAGUUGGGCACUCUAGCGAGACUGCCGGUAAUAAACCGGAGGAAGGUGGGGAUGACGUCAAUCAUCAUGCCCCUUAUGACCUGGGAUACACACGUGCUACAAUGGUUGGUACAACGAGUUGCGAGUCGGUGACGGCGAGCUAAUCUCUUAAAGCCAAUCUCAGUUCGGAUUGUAGGCUGCAACUCGCCUACAUGAAGUCGGAAUCGCUAGUAAUCGCGGAUCAGCACGCCGCGGUGAAUACGUUCCCGGGCCUU